This 711-nucleotide ribosomal RNA is filed under the name Saccharothrix texasensis. Its description in RNAcentral is "bacterial SSU rRNA". It matches the Rfam family "Bacterial small subunit ribosomal RNA", at positions 14 to 739 of the family's 1533-position model. The record is from RNAcentral. Lineage: Bacteria; Bacillati; Actinomycetota; Actinomycetes; Pseudonocardiales; Pseudonocardiaceae.
UGAUCNNGGCUCAGGGACGAACGCUGGCGNGCGUGCUUAACACAUGCAAGUCGAGCGGUAAGGCCCUUCGGGGGUACACGAGCGGCGAACGGGUGAGUAACACGUGGGUAACNUGCCCUGUACUNUGGGAUAAGCCUGGGAAACUAGGUCUAAUACCGGAUAUGACUCCNCUAGGCAUNUGGUGGGGUGGAAAGUUCCGGCGGUACAGGAUGGACCCGCGGCCUAUCAGCUUGUUGGUGGGGUAAUGGCCUACCAAGGCGACGACGGGUAGCCGGCCUGAGAGGGUGACCGGCCACACUGGGACUGAGACACGGCCCAGACUCCUACGGGAGGCAGCAGUGGGGAAUAUUGCACAAUGGGCGAAAGCCUGAUGCAGCGACGCCGCGUGAGGGAUGACGGCCUUCGGGUUGUAAACCUCUUUCAGCGGGGACGAAGGGCAACUGACGGUACCCGCAGAAGAAGCACCGGCUAACUACGUGCCAGCAGCCGCGGUAAUACGUAGGGUGCGAGCGUUGUCCGGAAUUAUUGGGCGUAAAGAGCUCGUAGGCGGUUUGUUGCGUCGGCUGUGAAAACUUCACGCUUAACGUGGAGCCUGCAGUCGAUACGGGCAGACUUGAGUUCGGCAGGGGAGACUGGAAUUCCUGGUGUAGCGGUGAAAUGCGCAGAUAUCAGGAGGAACACCGGUGGCGAAGGCGGGUNUCUGGGCCGAUA